This 253-nucleotide ribosomal RNA is filed under the name Gemmatimonadaceae bacterium. RNAcentral's name for it is "partial 16S ribosomal RNA". It matches the Rfam family "Bacterial small subunit ribosomal RNA", at positions 524 to 776 of the family's 1533-position model. The record is from RNAcentral. RNAcentral also lists the same sequence under 2 other names. Lineage: Bacteria; Pseudomonadati; Gemmatimonadota; Gemmatimonadia; Gemmatimonadales; Gemmatimonadaceae.
UACAGAGGGUGCGAGCGUUGUCCGGAAUCACUGGGCGUAAAGGGCGCGUAGGCGGCCUGAUAAGUCGGGGGUGAAAUCCUGUGGCUUAACCACAGGGCUGCCUCCGAGACUGUCGGGCUCGAGCACAGUAGAGGCAGGUGGAAUUCCCGGUGUAGCGGUGGAAUGCGUAGAGAUCGGGAAGAACAUCGGUGGCGAAGGCGGCCUGCUGGGCUGUUGCUGACGCUGAGGCGCGACAGCGUGGGGAGCAAACAGG